UUCUAAUGACAAAGGAAGUCAGGUAAGACUAUACACAAAUGUUUGGCUUUUUGCCUGACUGCAUUUUGCAAGGGGGUUUUCUCACUUUACAAAUAUGUGAUUACUAGCUUUGUUUUGUUCUUGAAGUGUUUUCAGAACUCCAUACAACUCAUCAUUUUUAGGAUUUUUUUUUCUUUUAGUGUUGUUUGCUUGAUUCAGAAUAUUUUGAAAAGAUAAUUGUUGGACCCAAAUCCAAGCAAAGAUGAGCCAAGUAAAGACAUAAUUAUUAGCACGUUCACUUGAAAUUUUAGCUCCUGCUUAAAAGCAUAUUUGCUUUCCUCUUAUUUCAUUUCUGGCAAUGUCUUAUUUCAGUCUAAGCCUUAUAUUAAGGAAAAAAAACACCUCAAAACAAAAGUCUUGACAUGUUUUUAACCACUAACAAUAAUGGUGACAUAUAACAGCUGCAAGCUCACUUCUGUAUUCCCAGUAGAGGAAUUAAAGGUCCGUGUUAUAAGAUGAGGGGUUUAGCUGCUUUAUAACAUGAUUCAGACAGUGACUCACAAUUACGAGUUGUCUGAUUAAAAAACCCCAGUAGUUGUGAGUUUCUUUUUGGAGAAUGGGCAGUCUUCAAAGGAACGUGUGAUGUUGGAGAAAAAAAUGGGAAAUAACACUUCUUUAAAUUCUAGAUUGACCACGAUUCAAAAGAGCAUGGUGAGACAUCUAUAUAUACUCAUUUCAUUAGAGAGAGCAUCUCAAUUGGAUGUAGGCUUCUUUCCAUGUAAAAACCCCCUUGAGUGCAAGGCAGUAUUGUAUCCUAGUGCAGAAAAAUGGUCAUUUAUUCUGGGUUAUUAAACAAGGUCUACAUCAUUUCUCAGAAUGACCCACAGGAGUCCUCCUGUGGCCCAGGAGAUGAAGGACCCAGUCUUGUUACUGCAGUGGCCUGGGUUCGAUCCUUGGCCUGGGAACUCCCACAUGCCUCAGGAGUUGCCAAAAAAAUAAACAGACAGACAAAUGAGAAAAAUGGCCCAUGGAUCAAGCUAUUUUGAUGCCACAUAAGGGGGAUUUUCUCCUUCAGUGGCACUUUUAACCUUUGCAGAUGCCUAGUCCAUCAACGAGUACCAGCUCUGAUGGGAGAUGAAAAAAUAUGACAGAGAUGGACAAGAGUAUAUUUUUCAAAGAGUGAAGAUUUUCUGCAGAAUUAGAUGUUGAAAGUCUUUUCAAAUGAAAACCACACCAUAGGAUUCCAGAGUCAAGUCUCCUCAGUUGGUGAAUGACUGUUGGGAAAAAAAUGAAAUGAAAUUUAUCUGAGAAUGACUGUCAUGACCCAUUCUUAAAGCAGAAGAGCUUUGUUCCCUCAAAGCUAGUGGGAACAUUUUACAGUAGCAGCCUCAUAGUUUGUAACUGAAUAAAUCACCAAGUGACAUUAAUUAUAUCUUUCCCUUUGGCUUCCUAAAUUCCCCUUUAAUAGACCUGAAGGAGUUGGCAUGAAUAAUAUGCAUUGAGAGCCGUUUGCAACUUUUGGACUCAGUAGUUAACUUUCUAGCAAAUCUAUAUUCGUUCUCUAUCAUUGCAGGUAGAAAUAUCUAUAUUUUUAAUUCUGUUCAGGAGUUUUCUUAGAAUUAUCAGCAACUAAAAAUCUUACUUUAAGUCAAUGGUUCUUGGUGAUCAUAAUGACCAAAAGUUUGAUGCGUCCCGUAGGCUAAUUUCUGUAUAUUCCACAAGAAUAAAAGGAUUGUGUGUACAUAUUUGUACUGGGAGUCAUUUUGACUGAAGAUUUAUGGAGAUAUCAACUGGCAAAUUCUGUACAGUUUAAACACAAGAGCUUUUGUCCAAGUGGAAUACUUCAAAGGAUUGGGGAUUGAAGCAGCCCUUUGAUGAAAUCUACAAACUACUGGAAAUGUUUAAAUACUGAGGUUAAAAUUACACUUGAGAUAAAAUCUGAUUUCCUGUUUCUAAGUCUAAAAGCUUGCAAUAAGGACCCUGAAGGUUCCUGGAAUAAUACACAGAUCUUCUAAAACAGCAACUGGAUGAGGGCCCUCAACAGUAUAUAACUGGGAGCAAUAAAAGAAACCUAGGCACUGUUGGCAUCCAAAAGACUUUCGAAGUACAAUGCACUGAAGUCUUCGCUACGGUCCUAUGAGAGGACACAAAACAGUCUGCAGAGCUGUCCAAAGGUACCUGACACUUCAGCUGUUGACUGUAACUCGGCUUCGAUGUUUCCUCUUUUGCAAACAAAACAAAACAAAACAAAAACAAGAAAAGAGGUAGGAAGGAAGGGGGAAAAGCAAACGAGCAAGAAAAAAGAUUUGGCAUUAUUAAUAUGAGUAACAGGAGUUUUUUCGGUAUUUUAUUGAAUUUUGCACAUAACAUUUGCAAUGAUAACACUUUAAAUCCAAUGACAAAUUUAUAAAAGGGAUCAGAUGAAAAUAUCACAUAAUCAACUCACAGAUAUACUGAUAUUUACUUAACAUAAGGCCCGAAAUUGUGUCAAGAACAUUACAGAACAGGGCGUUAAGAGCUUAUUUUAACUUUACAUUAAUAUGUGAUAAACUAACACAAUUCAUUGUCAAAGGAAGACAAAUACAGAAAAAUAGAAAAUAUGAUUUGAUAUUAUACUUUACUCAGAAUCUCAUUAUUUCUUAUUAUGUCAUCAUUUAAGAAUGAUUAUUAUUUCAUUCCAUACCAAAGAAUACUAGUUGGACUUAUCUGUUUGACAAGGAGAACUAAAGUUAAGAUUACAAAAUUUUAAAUUUCGAUACACUAUAGCUUAUGUUCCAUUUAAUUACUGACAGUAACACUGCAUUGCUAGUCAGUAAAAGUACAGAAUGUGUCACAGGCUGUUGACUUACAAGGGAAAGCAGGUACAGUGUGUCUCUGCUGUUUGAAAAAAAAGAAUUAAAAUGUACUGUUAUGUCAUGAUUAAUGCAGGAAUGUUCUCCAUAUUCAAAGUGAUCAGUCGUCAGAUUUUAAUUGUAUCUGGGAAAUUAGUUAAGUGGAUUUUUCACUAUGGGCAUCUACUUCACCACACAGUGGAACUAUGGCUAAAUGUCAACAAUCCUGUUAUCUAAGACUUCAUACCAACUCUUUCCGUGGAGUUAUAGGAAAUAAUAAGUUUUCUCAAGAUAAAGGCAGUAUUUCUAUUCACAACCCCUUCCCUGUCCUCUAAUCCCAGAACACAUGCAAUGAAAAACGAUCGGCUGAAAAAUGGUUCGUGAUGCUGGGUCUCACAGCAUGUUUCCUCUGAAUUAGGAUUCUAGAGUUUCUUGGGUUGAUUAUUGCUUCUUUCAGCAGUUUGGAAAUCAGUCAUUAUGACAGAUUUUUUUUUUUUUUUUCUGGCCAGAAGUUUCUGGGCUGGAGAUCCGGCCACAGCAGCGACCCAAGCCACUGCGAUGACACCGCCGGAUCCUUAACCUGGGAACACCUAUGAUGGAUUUUUUAAAAAAGGAAUUCAGAAAGGAGAUCAGUGAAGAAGAUACUUUUUCAGUCUAGUUUUUUGACAUAUGAAUUUAGUGUCUGUGAUCAGAGUGUGGGGACUUCAUAUGCUUUAGAUGAAAUUGUUUGGCUUUUACCCUGUGGGAGGACUAUGUUUGGAGGUAUCUAAAAAGGUCUGCAAUAGUAGCAACAACAGCUUGUAGCUGAGACCUGAAACUUCCCCAUGUAUCAUUUAGAACUACAGUAGAAGUUUUAAUUUUUUAUUCUAGUUGAUUCACAAUGUUCCAUCAAUUUCCGCUGCACAGUAAAGUGACCCAGUUACACAUACAUAGACAUUCUUUUUUCUCACAUUAUCUUCCAUCAUGUUCCAUCACACGUGUUUGGCUAUAGUUCCCUGUGCUACACAGCAGGAUCUCAUUGCUUAUCUACUCCAAAUGCAAUUGUUUGCAUCUCCUAACCCCAAACUCCCAGUCCAUCCCACUCCCUCCAAGUCUUAAAGAUAAUGGCAGUGAUAGGAAAAAAUAUCUUGAGAGAGAAUGAAGAUUGUAAAGAACUUGAGAUUUAAAGUCAUUUGCUGGCCACAUGAUCUUGGACAAGUCAUAAUCUUUCUAAAUUUUGGUCACUCACUUUCUAAACUUCAGACAGUAUUAUGACUUCAUAUGGAUAUUUUAAAGAGUAAAUAGGAUAUGUGACUCAUCUCUGCAAAGUAUGAGAUAAACCGAUGUUUGACAUCUCUACACAAAAACUGAAGUGUUGUAGUUGUAUUUGUUAUUUGCAUAAUUGCUAUCUAUUGACAAAGAUUUCAAAAACGGAUUUUAGAAAAAUACCAUAUGAUAUCACUUAUAUCUGGAACCUAAUAUACAGCACAAAUAAACUCAUCCAUAGAAAAGAAACUCAUGGACUUGGAGAACAGACUUGUGGUUGCCAAGGGAGACGGGGAGGGCGUGGGAUGGACUGGGAAUCUGGGUUUAAUAGAUGUAAACUAUUGCCUUUGAAAUGGAUAAGCAAUGAGAUUCUACUGUGCGGCACUGAGAACUUUAUCUAGUCACUUAUGAUGGAGCGUGAUGGAGGAUAAUGUGAGAAAAAGAACGUAUAUAUAUAUGUGUGACUGGGCCACUUUUCUGUACAGUAGAAAAUCGACUGAACACUGUACAUUGACUAUAAGGAAAAAAUAAAAAUCAUUAAAAUAAAAAAUGGAUUUUAAAACAUUUAGCAUAUUGCAAUGAAAUACUACAUACACUGCUUUCCCUUGUAUGUAUAGAAACUUUUAAACAGAAAUGAUAUCAUUUUAUGGGGUAGUUCCCAAAAUGGUCUGUACAGUACCUUAACCAGGAUAUUCCUAUCCGGUUUAUAAUCAUACAAUUUUAUGGCAUUUAGGAAAAACACUUUGACAGUUAGUUUUAUGUAAACUAAAUACUUAUCACCCCACCCCAAACCCAGUAUUAAGAGAUCACACCAUGGAAACAAGUUACCAGAAGAGAUACUACUAUGGUUUGUUUUUGUAUGGUGAGUUCACAAAUUGUUCUAAGAUACACUACUGACACAAUAUGCUAGAAUCACCAUUUAGCAAAUCUCAUCAACUUUAAAAAAAAUGGGUAAAAUUACUUCUUACAAAGAUCACCAACACUAACACAUAAGAGACUCAAUUAUACCUAAAGAGAAACUUCAGAUUCACAUAGCCAAAAUGAUCAGAUUAAAUGUUUUCAUGAAUCGCUCCACUAGUCAAAAUAUACAUUUCCUAUAAUGAAAGAGGCCUUUAAAAACUGCCCCCUGUUCUGAAUGGAAGGAUAUAAGACUACAGUUCUGGAUAAAUCAUCUCAGUAUGACAAAAUAUUUCUGAAUUAUUCAAAUGGACUGCUAUCAUAUUAACAACUUCCCUAGUGUCCAUAUUUUAGCAUCUUUCUAUCCUAAUCUCUUUCUACCAUAAAACCAGCAACCAGAAUAUAGUCUUCUUUUACAAUGGUUAUAAUCAUCCCUUACCUAUGUUGUGCAAAACCUGUAAUCCUUUUUCCAACUGCCCGCUAAAGCCAAACAGAAGCAUUUGGGUUUAUCCCUGAAGUCUGUUUCUCACUCCUGAGCAAAAUUAAUUACAAUAUGGCUCUAUCAGGCCUCUUUUGUAUCCACAAAAAUUUACAAAACUUUGUGAAUAUUAUUUCAAAUCAUAGCCAGUGUUUCUGGGACCAAAAAGGGUAUAGGAACUCUUAACUGUGGCGAAAGUGCACCUAACAAUCAGCUACAGUUCACUGAUAAGCAGAAUAUAUUUAAUUUUGAUUUGCUAAGUGUUUAUUCGACUACAAAAAAAUCUAAAAAGAUUCACUUGCACAGACAUUUCAUCUAGAUAAUUAACAACAUUCAAAGAUGCAAUGAUAAAUCAUAAUAAUUAAACCAUGGCCCCAAUCAAACUGUUUACAUGUUUUAUGUCUUGCUGAGGUCAAUUAGCAAGACUGGAAACAUGAAUGUUUGGGUCUGCAGUCUGUUCAGUCACAUGAGUAGCGAUAAGUGGCAUCUUAGUGCUGGAAGGGAGUGGCAUGGACUUGCGUAUUUUAGCAAUCUGAGAAUGACACCGAAUUUCAAAAGAUGUAAAGAAACUUACAGAUUACUAAAAAAACUGGGGCUCAGAGAGGUUAAAGGGACUUUCCUAGGGCCCAUAAGAGUUACUGGCAGAGCCAUCAUGAAAGCACAGAUACCUUACGUGCUACCAAACCAUGGCUGACGCAGAAAGAAUCAAGAGAUGAUCAUAAGGCCCAAACACCUGUCCCUCCCACCGUUUCCUACCUCUCCUGCUCCUAGAAUGGUAAGGCUCUGGUACAGUUUCAGCAAUUCAUGUUAAGGUGCUUUCGAAUCACCUUAACAUCAAAUUAGCUUUUAAAAGGAAUCUCCCCUCCUCUCCAGGUAUCAUAUUAAUCUGUUUCUGUUCUGCAGAGCAAUUUUUCUACUUUUUCAUGAUCCUGUCAUAGACCAGGAACAAUUCUUAGAGAAGAAAAAAAAAAAGUCUCACAUUCUCUGUCACAAUCAAUGGGAAGAUAUAUUUAUGACACUUUCAAGACUUAAGUCUUAUUUCGAUUUAUUCUUUCCUUCAGAAAUACAUAAGGAAAUCUGAGUACCUAAGUAUUCUUCAAAGCCUUUCCAGAGCAUAUAAUGACAAUCUGGGGGCUGGAAUGGGCUUUGGAGUUGAACCCAGAACAUCCAUUUUGCAAUUAGGAAACAAGCCUAGCAAUGGUAAGUGACUUAUCUAGGGUCCCACAGGCAGCAAAUGAGCAAGAAUUCUGGUCUCCUGAUAUCUAGAACAGUUCUGUUUUUACUAUGCAUUUGGUGAACCAUAUUUGAUAUGACGGUUUCUUCAUCUGGUACCAUUCUGUGCUUUUAUUGCAAAAGUCCAGGUUUUGUCUUUAUCUGAAACUGCAGCCUAUAAUAAUAAUGCAGAUAUAUAUUAAGCAUAUUAUAAUGCCUAAGGUUGUGUCACUGGUGUUUUAUGAAAGUAGCUCCUGUGUCUAUUUUGGUAAUACCUACUGAUCCUUACUAAAACUUCUGAAUGUCUAAGACCGUUUCAGGCAGUUGAUUGGUUUGUUUCAAUCAUCCCAACAGAGGACUGUGAUCAUCAGUCAUGAGGAUUAAGAUGGCUAGAAAUGAACUGACUAUUCUCUGGUCAAGUGUCCCUACUACACAGCCUAAUACAGAAUAAAAACACGGCGGUGGUUGUAUCUUCAAUUACACAUUAUCCAGAUUAGAGGUUCAGUAGCUCAAAUCUGAGAUCGCUGUCGUGUUUUUCACUUCACUUUUUCCUAGAGUGAUCUGGUCUGGUCUCAAAGUUCUGACUACAGAGACAUGACCAGUAGAUUGUGCAAAAUCCACUGUAGACAUUGCCUCAAAGAAAGUUACCUGGACUGUAUCUCCUAUCCAUCUGUUCUGCUGCUAGUAGGUAUGAGAUCAUUUCAGUUACUGAUCCUUAUAUAUUAACAAUGCAAUUCAUCACCUAUUUUUCCUUCUAUGGGCCACUGAAAAGUAUUAUAUUCUUGGCUUUCCCAGCACAAUAGUUUGAUAGUAACUGAAAUUCUACAAGUACUCUUAUUAUAACUUAGCAUGGUCAUGCAUUUUAAUAACAGGAGAUUGGAGUUUUAUGCAUUUGUUCAGGCAUAUUUUGAAAAUGAAAUAUGGAAAUGAAAAGUCUUUAAUAAAUGUUCACAGUUUGGCUUUCCAUAAGGCUUAUUAAAUAAUAUACAAAUAGCUACCAUUCUGCUGAAAUGUCACAGUAAAUACAUUAAUAAUGGCACAGAAGUGAAAUGUCCCCAAAUGGGAAAUCAUUUUCAUGACCUCCUAAAUCUCUUUUCUAAAUAAAACUUUACUUUUCUUUUUAACUGAAAAAAGUUCCAUUUCUAAAAGAAUAUAAAAAUAGAAAAUGAGUCAAGAAGGCUUUUACAGAUACAAUUUUUAAGGAAAUUCUAAAAACUCUAGAUGAAAUACUGUAUAUAUUUUAAGAAUGUGCUUUAUCUUGCCACACCAAACAUCACAUGAAAACUAAAUGAGUAUAUUAUAUAUAACUAUUGAAAAGUAUAACUAAAGGUUAAAUGUCUAAUUAAGAUAGACAACUUAAAUACAUAAUAAGUACUAAUAUAUUUUUAAGGUUAAGCUCAGCUAAAACCUAUCUUCAAGACUACUUUGCAAAUCUACCAUUUUGAAUCAAAGAAAAAUAAAAGAAUGUUUAAUCAAGCAAGGCACAUUUCUUUUAGGCAAGUCUAUCUUUAAUACCAUUCAUCUGGGCACAGUGUAGACUCCACUUAUUUAUGUAUAAAUGGGCUAAUUUAUGUAUGAGAGCCUUUGGUAGGAAAUACAUUUUCACAAGUAGUUGCACAUAAACCGGAACAUAGGUGGUUUUUUUUUUUUUUUUUUUUUUUUUUUUUUUGGCUGUUUGUUGUUUGUUUGUCUUUUUGCCAUUUCUUGGGCUGUUCCUGCGGCAUAUGGAGGCUCCCAGGCUAGGGGUUGAAUCGGAGCUGUAGCUGCUGGCCUACAUCAGAGCCACAGCAACGCCAGAUCCGAGCCAUGUCUGCAACCUACACCACAGCUCACAGCAACACUGGAUCCUUAACCCACUGAGCAAGGCCAGGGAUCGAACCCGCAACCUCAUGGUUCCUAGUCGGAUUCGUUAACCACUGAGCCACGACGGGAACUCCAUAUAAACCAGAACAUAAAAGAUAACAUUAAUAUACAAGAGGAUUAAACACAGUCCAGUAAUGAACCAAAAGAAGAAAACAGUAAAAAGUUGGCUUGUUGGAAACAAACAUUUAGUCUUUCUUUAUCAGCAGUACUGAUUAGUUUUUGAAUGAUUAAACGUCAUCAAAAUGUCAAAGACUGAAAUGAUACCUUAGUAAUUUUUAAUGUUCUUCUUUAUCUCUUGGUCAACCUUUUAUAUUGCACACAAUCUGAAGAAAAUCCUCUGGCCUCAGAGCUGUUUCCUUUACAUGAAGCAUUCGUUAGCGAGAGAUGUUAUUUAAUGUCAACUGGAACAAAAAUAUGUGCUGGCCGACAGAUCAUCGCCCAUCCAUGAUACAACCAACACUGUAUUCUUAAUGUAGGCAAUUUGGAAUGUGCAUCCUACUGGUUGGUUCAGCUCUACACUUCUUUAUGUGGGGCUCCUCGGGUAUCUGUUGGAGACAGUAAACACAAUGAUUUACGGUACAUUUAGAUUUUUUAAAUGGUAGACUAGUAUCAAAAGAAAAUAUU
Non-coding RNA from Sus scrofa (pig), 9129 nucleotides. The record is from RefSeq and is a predicted model, not a curated record. NCBI's taxonomy places the organism in Eukaryota, Metazoa, Chordata, Mammalia, Artiodactyla, Suidae.